RNAcentral lists this ribosomal RNA (253 nucleotides) under uncultured bacterium. RNAcentral's name for it is "partial 16S ribosomal RNA". It matches the Rfam family "Bacterial small subunit ribosomal RNA", at positions 524 to 776 of the family's 1533-position model. The record is from RNAcentral.
UACGAAGGGGGCUUGCGUUGUUCGGAAUUACUGGGCGUAAAGGGCGCGUAGGCGGUGUGUCAAGUCAGGCGUGAAAGCCCCGGGCUCAACCUGGGAACCGCGCUUGAGACUGGCACGCUCGAGUUCGGGAGAGGGAUGCGGAAUUCCAGGUGUAGCGGUGAAAUGCGUAGAUAUCUGGAGGAACACCGGUGGCGAAGGCGGCAUCCUGGACCGAGAUUGACGCUGAGGCGCGAAAGCCAGGGGAGCAAACGGG